CAGCAGCAGCCACGGGAAUACGUAGGGUGCAAGCGUUAAUCGGAAUUACUGGGCGUAAAGCGUGCGCAGGCGGUUAUAUAAGACAGAUGUGAAAUCCCCGGGCUCAACCUGGGAACUGCAUUUGUGACUGUAUAGCUAGAGUACGGCAGAGGGGGAUGGAAUUCCGCGUGUAGCAGUGAAAUGCGUAGAUAUGCGGAGGAACACCGAUGGCGAAGGCAAUCCCCUGGGCCUGUACUGACGCUCAUGCACGAAAGCGUGGGGAGCAAACAGGAUUAGAUACCCCUGUAGUCCCUGUCUCUUAUAC
Molecule: ribosomal RNA, 304 nt
Filed under: uncultured bacterium
Lineage: Bacteria
Description: partial 16S ribosomal RNA
Rfam family: Bacterial small subunit ribosomal RNA
Source: RNAcentral